RNAcentral lists this ribosomal RNA (547 nucleotides) under uncultured bacterium. RNAcentral describes it as "partial 16S ribosomal RNA". It matches the Rfam family "Bacterial small subunit ribosomal RNA", at positions 355 to 895 of the family's 1533-position model. The record is from RNAcentral.
UGGGGAAUUUUGGAUAAUAGGCGAAAGCCUGAUCCAGCAAUGCCGCGUGUGUGAAGAAGGCCUUCGGGUUGUAAAGCACUUUUGUCCGGAAAGAAAUCCUUGGCUCUAAUACAGUCGGGGGAUGACGGUACCGGAAGAAUAAGCACCGGCUAACUACGUGCCAGCAGCCGCGGUAAUACGUAGGGUGCAAGCGUUAAUCGGAAUUACUGGGCGUAAAGCGUGCGCAGGCGGUUUGCUAAGACCGAUGUGAAAUCCCCGGGCUCAACCUGGGAACUGCAUUGGUGACUGGCAGGCUAGAGUAUGGCAGAGGGGGGUAGAAUUCCACGUGUAGCAGUGAAAUGCGUAGAGAUGUGGAGGAAUACCGAUGGCGAAGGCAGCCUCCUGGGCCAAUACUGACGCUCAUGCACGAAAGCGUGGGGAGCAAACAGGAUUAGAUACCCUGGUAGUCCACGCCCUAAACGAUGUCAACUAGUUGUUGGGGAUUCAUUUCCUUAGUAACGUAGCUAACGCGUGAAGUUGACCGCCUGGGGAGUACGGUCGCAAGAUU